This 459-nucleotide ribosomal RNA is filed under the name uncultured bacterium. RNAcentral's name for it is "partial 16S ribosomal RNA". It matches the Rfam family "Bacterial small subunit ribosomal RNA", at positions 338 to 795 of the family's 1533-position model. The record is from RNAcentral.
CCUACGGGUGGCAGCAGUGAGGAAUAUUGGUCAAUGGGCGAGAGCCUGAACCAGCCAAGUCGCGUGAGGGAGUACUGCCCUAUGGGUUGUAAACCUCUUUUGUCGGGGAGCAAAAGCCGGACGUGUCCGGCUGUGAGAGUACCCGAAGAAAAAGCAUCGGCUAACUCCGUGCCAGCAGCCGCGGUAAUACGGAGGAUCCGAGCGUUAUCCGGAUUCAUUGGGUUUAAAGGGUGCGUAGGUUGUUUUAUAAGUUAGCGGUGAAAUACCGAUGCUCAACAUCGGGGCUGCCGCUGAUACUGUAGGACUAGAGAUCGGAUGCAGCAGGCGGAAUGUGUAGUGUAGCGGUGAAAUGCAUAGAUAUUACACAGAACACCGAUUGCGAAGGCAGCUUGCUAGGCCGGAUCUGACACUGAUGCACGAAAGCGUGGGGAUCGAACAGGAUUAGAUACCCGAGUAGUC